CACGUAGGUGGAUAGUUAAGUGAGGGGUGAAAUCCCGAGGCUCAACCUCGGAACUGCCUUUCAUACUGGCUAUCUUGAGUUCGGAAGAGGUGAGUGGAAUUCCAAGUGUAGAGGUGAAAUUCGUAGAUAUUUGGAAGAACACCGGUGGCGAAGGCGGCUCACUGGUCCGAUACUGACACUGAGGUGCGAAAGCGUGGGGAGCAAACA
Molecule: ribosomal RNA, 207 nt
Filed under: uncultured bacterium
Lineage: Bacteria
Description: partial 16S ribosomal RNA
Rfam family: Bacterial small subunit ribosomal RNA
Source: RNAcentral